UAUAAAGAAAAAAUUAGGUGCUUUAAUUUUUUUAUUUAUGUAUUUUUUUUCUCUAACCAUUUUAUUUAAUAAUGAGUGUUUUUUUAGUUAGAGCUAGUGCAGAGAUGACAGAGGAAAUGUGUUGAGUGAGAGAGAUGAAGGAGAAAGGGUUGAGAGGAAUGAAGGAGGUGAAUAAGGGUUUGGGGUUUCUUUUUUUUUUUAUUUUGAGAAUAAAAAUUAAUAAAAUAAGACAAGUGAUUUUGAUUUUUUUCAAUUAGGGCUACAAUAGGGAUGACAGAGAAAAUGUUAGAGUGAAAGAGACGAAAGAGAAAGGUGGAGAGGAAUGAGAGAGGUGGAUAAGGGAUUGAGGGUUUCUUUUUUUAUUUUUUUAAUUUUGAGAAUGAAAAUUAUUAAAAUACCCUUAACCUUAAAACUUAGAAUUCAUUAUAUAUAGGGAUAUUUUUGUCUACUGAAACCCGGUACACAUUGCUAAAAUGUACCAACUGAAAAACAGGCGUACGCAAGUUAGCAAACCCCUAUAUAUAUAUAUAUAUAUAUAUAUAUGAGUUUGUUAAUGCGUGUACACCUAUUUUUUUCAGUUAGAACAUUUUAACAAUGUGUACGGGAUUAUAGUAGACAAAAAAAUACCCUUAUAUGUUAUGGAUUCUAAGUUUUAAAGUCAAUGAUAUUUAAAUAAUUUUCAUUCUCAAAACUAAAAAAAAAACUCCCAAACCUUUACUCACCUCCUUUAUUCCUCUCAACCCUUUCUCUUUCAUAUCUCUCACUCCAACAUUUUCUCUAUCAUCCUAUGCUAGAUCCAACUGAAAAAAAAAAUUAGAAAUACUCGUUGUUAAACAAUUUACCUCUGUAAAGAGUUGAGUCAUUGGC
RNAcentral lists this long non-coding RNA (867 nucleotides) under Vigna radiata. Its description in RNAcentral is "long non-coding RNA (VRAD_LNC014246)". The record is from RNAcentral. Lineage: Eukaryota; Viridiplantae; Streptophyta; Magnoliopsida; Fabales; Fabaceae.